Molecule: ribosomal RNA, 458 nt
Filed under: uncultured bacterium
Lineage: Bacteria
Description: partial 16S ribosomal RNA
Rfam family: Bacterial small subunit ribosomal RNA
Source: RNAcentral
CCUACGGGAGGCAGCAGUGAGGCAUAUUGGUCAAUGGGCGAGAGCCUGAACCAGCCAAGUCGCGUGAGGGAGUACUGCCCUAUGGGUUGUAAACCUCUUUUGUCGGGGAGCAAAAGCCGGACGUGUCCGGCUGUGAGAGUACCCGAAGAAAAAGCAUCGGCUAACUCCGUGCCAGCAGCCGCGGUAAUACGGAGGAUGCGAGCGUUAUCCGGAUUUAUUGGGUUUAAAGGGGGCGCAGGGGGAGUUUUAAGUCAGCGGGAAAAUCGUGGGGCUCAACUCCGUCCAGCCGGGGAAACUGGGGAUCUAGAGUGUGCGGGAGGUAUGCGGAAUGCGUGGUGUAGCGGUGAAAUGCAUAGAUAUCACGCAGAACCCCGAUUGCGAAGGCAGCAUACCGGUGCACAACUGACGCUCAGGCACUAAAGCGUGGGUAUCGAACAGGAUUAGAUACCCUUGUAGUC